Molecule: non-coding RNA, 433 nt
Organism: Pelobates cultripes (western spadefoot toad)
Lineage: Eukaryota; Metazoa; Chordata; Amphibia; Anura; Pelobatidae
Source: the annotation of a GenBank genome assembly
GGAAAAGACAUGGUUAAUCAACAAAGUGGCACACACGGUACUCGUGUUCUCUUUACAAGGCAAACACUCUAUCCACUUUGUGUACAUACAUGUAACGGUUAACAUGUAUUUGUUACCGGACCUAUAAAGUCAAUUUGAAUAUCAGACCAGGGUUAUGACACCCCCCUCUUCUAAAGUGUUGCACGAUGGGUUGGACCAUGGGGUUGAUAUUGCGGACAAAUCAAGCAUCCCUGACAGUAUGUCUUAACAUCUCUUAACAUGUGUGGCCAAUAUGUAUAAUCACGCAAUAUCUCAUAUGUGAUCUGUAGCGGAGAUGCAAUAUUACCCAGGUUAUCUCCGCUUAUAAUCCAAGUGAGGCUCAGGAACAAGUAAAUAGUAAAUCCACAGGCAAGGCUUCCAGCAGGUAAAAUACAGCAAUAUCCCAACAGCAAUC